UGGACUUCCUAAUUCUAAUACUAAAGGAUUGCUUUAGUAUAUUUUCCUCCACUGCCUAGCAAAAUGCACGGCCAAACUCUCUACCUAUAAAUGUUCCUUAUUUCUUUGGAGAGAGGAAAGACAAAAAAAGGUACUCUUUAAUUUCUACAAAGAGUGUGAUGAAUUGAGAGCUUAUAUCUUCAAAUCUCCAGCAACGUAGCAAAUCAAAAGUUCCUUCAUAGUGAAUUAAGGUGACGGGAAGUUUUAUGAAGGCGACUUAAGUGCGAUUCCUCAUCUACGACCAUCUACGAGCUCGUAUGAGCAAUUAAGGUUCAGGUAUACCGAGUGGCAGGAGUGCAUCCUAGAUGGUACAGAUGUUCAACAAAAUGGUGUCAGCUUCACUUCUUCCUGGAGUUGAGUCAAGUCUUGUAUUUGUAUGUAUAGUGAUUAUGGGUAGGUUAGGGCCCUGUCCCGACUAUGUUAUGUCAGUCAGAUAUUCGUAGAGUCUUCAUAGACGUUUGUGGUCAGGUACAGUCAUGUACAGGUUUGACUUUUAGUUAUACAGACAAAGCAUCGAUCAUGUUUACAGA
Molecule: long non-coding RNA, 569 nt
Organism: Lycium barbarum (goji berry)
Lineage: Eukaryota; Viridiplantae; Streptophyta; Magnoliopsida; Solanales; Solanaceae
Exons: 2
Source: RefSeq, a predicted model, not a curated record